GAGCGAGACCCACGCCCACAGUUGCCAGCGUACUCUCUGGAGUGACGGGUACACUGUGGGGACCGCCGCUGCUAAAGCGGAGGAAGGAAUGGGCAACGGUAGGUCAGUAUGCCCCGAAUAUCCCGGGCUACACGCGAGCUACAAUGGUUGGUACAAUGGGUAUCUACCCCGAAAGGGGACGGGAAUCUCCUAAAACCAAUCUUAGUUCGGAUUGAGGGCUGCAACUCGCCCUCAUGAAGCUGGAAUCCGUAGUAAUCGCGUUUCAACAGAACGCGGUGAAUACGUCCCUGCUCCUU
RNAcentral lists this ribosomal RNA (296 nucleotides) under uncultured Methanosaeta sp. RNAcentral describes it as "partial 16S ribosomal RNA". It matches the Rfam family "Archaeal small subunit ribosomal RNA", at positions 1043 to 1338 of the family's 1478-position model. The record is from RNAcentral. Lineage: Archaea; Methanobacteriati; Methanobacteriota; Methanomicrobia; Methanotrichales; Methanotrichaceae.